AUCUCCUCUUGGGUGAGCAACCUAGAACUAUUCUAGGAUUUUGGGUAAGAGAAAAACCAAAGAGAAGAGAGUCUUUAUCAAAUUUUUCUCUACCAUCCAGCAUCCCCUCUGAUCCAUAUUCAAUAUCAAAAAGAUUUGAGACAAUCGAAAGAAGAAAUCAAAUCAGAUCUGCCAUCAUAAGCUAACUGCACAAGCUAGCACUCCCAC
This 207-nucleotide long non-coding RNA is filed under the name Elaeis guineensis (African oil palm). RNAcentral describes it as "long non-coding RNA (EGUI_LNC063964)". Lineage: Eukaryota; Viridiplantae; Streptophyta; Magnoliopsida; Arecales; Arecaceae. The record is from RNAcentral.